This 272-nucleotide long non-coding RNA is filed under the name Medicago truncatula (barrel medic). RNAcentral describes it as "lncRNA gene13549". The record is from RNAcentral. Lineage: Eukaryota; Viridiplantae; Streptophyta; Magnoliopsida; Fabales; Fabaceae.
UUUUUUUAUUGACUUUAAUUAGUUUUGGUAUUGAGAGUAAUUAUGAGAUUGGGUAAAUAAAUAAAAUGGAGGAAAUCAAACACAAGGGUAUAAUAGGAACUUUGUAUCAAACUAGCUUGUCCUUGGUUAGUGCAAUUUCUCCAAAACGACAUGUAUUUUGAAACGAAGUGAGUAUCGUUAGACAUUUACAACUUUUUGUUUGGUGCUUUGAAAUUCCUUAACCUCACUUAAAUUGUCAUAAUUUUUAGGCUGAAAGCUCUGAUGUGGAUGCU